CCCUUAGAUGUUCUGGGCCGCACACGCGCUACACUGAAGGAGGCAGCGUGUACUCCUGGAUCGAAAGAUUUGGGUAACCCGCGAAUCUCCUUCAUGCUAGGGAUUGAGGUUUGCAAUUAUCCUUCAUGAACGAGGAAUUCCCAGUAAGUGCAAGUCAUAAGCUUGCGCUGACUACGUCCCUGCCCUUUGUACACACCGCCCGUCGCUACUACCGAUUGAAUGAUUUAGUGAGGACUUCGGACUGGGACCGAUGCGGCUUUCGGGCUGCGUCGGUAUUCUGGAAAGAUGUCCAAACUGUAUCAUUUAGAGGAAGUAAAAGUCGUAACA
Molecule: ribosomal RNA, 327 nt
Filed under: uncultured eukaryote
Lineage: Eukaryota
Description: partial 18S ribosomal RNA
Rfam family: Eukaryotic small subunit ribosomal RNA
Source: RNAcentral